CUUGGUGGUUGGCUACUGAGGUACAAGCAAGAGACCUCAGAUUAGGAUGGUGGUAGCAGAUAUUGUGUAGAAAGGACAGAUGUUAGAGCCAUUUUUAGGGAACAUUGAAGAACUGGAAUAAUGGACAUGAAUGGAGAAGAUAGGCAUCCAUAUUGGACCAGCCCCUGUCCACAGUAUUGAAGAUAUCCUUAUGUCCUUAAAAUUAAUCUAUUUUGUGGGAAACAUUGUGAAAGUUACCCAAAGAGAAGAAAAUGUGUUUAUGAUGAAGUUGCUGUCAUCCAGAAACUUAUAAUCAAGUUGGUAAGAUAUGACAUAAUUUGCUAUUUAAAGCACACGUGCACACACACACACACACACAAAUUCAAGGCUGGAUAUGUACUUAAGUAUAUCAAAUUUUUAAGUUGCUAUUUUGAUUUUUUUCAAAUAUACAGAUGUGUCUGAAUGCAGGGAUUAUAGCUGAGC
Molecule: long non-coding RNA, 462 nt
Filed under: Pan troglodytes (chimpanzee)
Lineage: Eukaryota; Metazoa; Chordata; Mammalia; Primates; Hominidae
Description: lncRNA (ENSPTRG00000053860.1)
Source: RNAcentral